Long non-coding RNA from Orbicella faveolata, 731 nucleotides. NCBI's taxonomy places the organism in Eukaryota, Metazoa, Cnidaria, Anthozoa, Scleractinia, Merulinidae. The record is from RefSeq and is a predicted model, not a curated record.
CUUCAUUCUUGCCUCCUCGUCGCAACUUCGACAAGAACUGAAAACUUUACUCGUCGAUCUACCGGCUCUGUGAGUUUAAGUGGUUUUUAACUGUCAUCGACAUGGCUAAAUGGGGCGAAGGUGAUCCGAGGUGGAUCGUAGAAGAGAGAGCUGAUGCUAAAAAUGUGAAUAAUUGGCACUGGACAGAGAAAAAUGCAACUCCUUGGUCCAAGGAAAGAUUGAAGACACUUUUAAAGGAUUUAGAAAUCGAAACAGAUAAAGGAAAAGUCAAGAUAACUGAUGUUCGAAAAAUUGAUGGUGAAGCUUAUGCCAAGUAAGUGCAGCCUCCUGUCUCUGACCACCAGUAGUUCCCAGGUCGAUCAAAAUUGAAUGGCUUUUAGAAAAAAAAUCACUGUGUACCUUAUGAUAUCGACCAGCUGCUCUGCUGGGCUUUUCUUCACUGAAAUAAAAAUGAAAAAUAGAAAAAGAAAAUACAGCUACCUACUUCAAAACUUUGUUGGAACACUGAUUUCUGUAAAAAGAUGAAAUUUAUUGCUGUAUUUGACAAUCUUUGUCGAAGGUCUUUUCAAAUUUUCAUGAUUUAACCUGAAAAAAAUAGUGUUAUGGAUUAUUGUAAAGUAGUUUCUAGAAAUUUCUAGAAAGCAUGUUCCAGACCUUUCUAGAACAUUUCUACUGCAUUGUGAUGAUUAUGAUGUAAUGCUAUACAAAUAGUACUGAACAUUGUGCUGUAA